GGUACCUACGGGGAAGGACAGGACUGUGAACAAACCAGACAUCAGCAGACCUUCUAUUUCCCUUGUUAAAAAGAUGGUAGCAGCUCAAAACAUGCCUGAGAGGGGCUCUUCUGAAAUGCCUUUGAUACCCAGUAAGAAGGCAGUGCACUGAAAUCAGCAGCUGAGGAUUCUCCGUACAGUAUCAUUUUCUUGGGAAAAAAAAAAAAAAAAAGUCUUAGAACUACAGUAAGUUCCCCAAGAUUCUGAAUUUUCACUGCCAGGCUCUACUUAACAUGUACCCCUGACAUUAGGUCCUGCAAACACUAUUAUACUCUUUUGCAGACUCAGACAAAUUAUUCUUGAGCUACUGCAUGUCUCCUUUGAAUUGCAAGGGAAAUGGCCCAAGAAGCAGCUUCCCUACUUCAGACAUCCACAUCCAAGCUGAAGAGACAAGGAGGCAGACAAUGAAAACCAAGAAGAAAAGGUUGUGGCACUCGGGAUGUGGGAUCGGAGAAAGGCUGAUGCUUCAUCCUGGAAGUCUCACUUUCCUGAAUUCUCAUCACCUGUUCUGUGCUGCAGCUCUAGAAACCACAACGGUAUACAGACCAUGCAAUCAAGCAAUGAAGGAAGCUUAUACCUAUGAAAUAAAUAUUAAUUUGUUUUCAGGCAGAUGUGUUCUGAGUCUGACUGUCAUUUUUUUAGUAAUGCUUGUGUUGACAUGAGAAAGAGAACAAAGAUAUUGGUUUAAGCUGAAUAUCAAACUACACUUUAAAAUGUAAGGCACUUUAACUGGCAAACAAGCAAGGGCUAAAGGGUAAGAUGAUGACAAAUAGAAAGCUAUUGAUGAUUCUGUCCUUCUGAUACAUCCUGCCACAGCAGAGCUGAGGUAUUCACUAGACAGCUUCUGCCUUCUGGGACAACUUUUCCAGGAAACAAUGUGAAUUCUGAAUUCAAGCUGUCAUAAUUGUUGAACAGAGCAAUAUAUUUCUGGACUAUUAGUAUUUCUUUGAAAGGAAUAGAAUACACUGAAAAGCUUCCAAAAUUAAUUCAGGGAAGCUGAGUAUCACAUUAGACAACAGAACAGUUCUGAGCCACACAGCAUUUAUGCAUUUAUGCAGUUUUAAAAGCAACUAAGUAAUUAUCCGAAAAGUAUAGAACUUAGUGAAAUUGAGAGAAACUACAUAAACUAUUCUAAAGAACUUCAGCCCGGAAUGCAAUUAAAUAUUCAAAACACAUUUAAAAAAAAAAAAAAAUUCUGAUAGAAGAAAUAGAAACUGGUUAUUUCUCUUUCCACCUUGCAGCUGAAAGACCAGUUCCUAAGCUCGUCCCUAGGUCAGGUUUGUGAAAAUGUUCUCAAACUAUUCAGAAGAGACAAAUAAGAAGAGAUACAUGUGGCAGAUCUCAGGAAAACAUUACUUUUGUCACUGUUUUUGGAGUAAUGUAUCAAUAAAAAUAAAAGUUUAAAAUUGGAUUACUACCUA
RNAcentral lists this long non-coding RNA (1460 nucleotides) under Phasianus colchicus (ring-necked pheasant). RNAcentral describes it as "lncRNA (ENSPCLG00000012926.1)". The record is from RNAcentral. Lineage: Eukaryota; Metazoa; Chordata; Aves; Galliformes; Phasianidae.